UUAUAAGAGACAGCAGUAGCCACGGGAAUACGGAGGGUGCAAGCGUUAAUCGGAAUUACUGGGCGUAAAGCGCACGCAGGCGGUCUGUCAAGUCAGAUGUGAAAUCCCCGGGCUUAACCUGGGAACUGCAUUUGAAACUGGCAGGCUAGAGUCUUGUAGAGGGGGGUAGAAUUCCAGGUGUAGCGGUGAAAUGCGUAGAGAUCUGGAGGAAUACCGGUGGCGAAGGCGGCCCCCUGGACAAAGACUGACGCUCAGGUGCGAAAGCGUGGGGAGCAAACAGGAUUAGAUACCCCAGUAGUCCCUGUCUCUUAUAC
RNAcentral lists this ribosomal RNA (314 nucleotides) under uncultured bacterium. Its description in RNAcentral is "partial 16S ribosomal RNA". It matches the Rfam family "Bacterial small subunit ribosomal RNA", at positions 499 to 807 of the family's 1533-position model. The record is from RNAcentral.